This 724-nucleotide ribosomal RNA is filed under the name uncultured bacterium. RNAcentral describes it as "bacterial SSU rRNA". It matches the Rfam family "Bacterial small subunit ribosomal RNA", at positions 8 to 709 of the family's 1533-position model. The record is from RNAcentral.
AGAGUUUGAUUAUGGCUCAGAGNNNNCGCUGGCGGCGUACUUAACACAUGCAAGUCGAACGAGGAUCGUCGGUGUAGCAAUACAUUGGCGGUCCUAGUGGCGCACGGGUGAGUAACACGUGGGUGACCUGCCCUUGAGCUCGGGAUACCCCCUCGAAAGGGGGGCUAAUACCGGAUACGUUCCUUGGUUGAAAGACUGGGGAGGGAAGGUGGCGCAAGCUGCCGCUCUUGGAGGGGCUCGCGGCCUAUCAGCUAGUUGGCGGGGUAACGGCCCACCAAGGCUAUGACGGGUAGCUGGUCUGAGAGGACGACCAGCCACACGGGGACUGAGACACGGCCCCGACUCCUACGGGAGGCAGCAGUGGGGAAUUUUCCGCAAUGGACGAAAGCCUGACGGAGUGACGCCGCGUGUGGGACGAAGGCCUUCGGGUCGUAAACCACUGUCAGUGGGAAAGAUGGGUGUCGGUGUUAAUACCACCGGCAUCUGGCGGUACCUGCAGAGGAAGCCCCGGCCAACUCUGUGCCAGCAGCCGCGGUAAGACAGAGGGGGCAAGCGUUGCUCGGAAUUACUGGGCGUAAAGGGCGCGUAGGCGGGAUGGCAAGUCGGUCGUGAAAUCCCUCGGCUCAACCGAGGAACGUCGAUCGAUACUGCCGUUCUUGAGGGUUGCAGAGGAGACUGGAAUUCCCGGUGUAGCGGUGAAAUGUGUAGAGAUCGGGAGGAACAC